CAGUAGCAGCCCUCUCCCCCUUGCGUUUCUCUUAUCUCCUUCCCUUCCCCACUGACCUCGUUGAUCGAGCAGGUGCGCGCCUAUGCUUGCACUCCGUCCUCUAGUUCGCUGUUGCCAACUCAGAGAGUCACCACCGCCUGCCAGAUAGCGCAUCCAUUCAUCCAUCGAGUCAUCAUCACGCAGUUGUCGCUCCUCCGACUCGUUUGUCUUUCUCGUCUUCUUCUCGCCCUCCUUCGCCACAUGUCGUGCGCACCUGGGCCGACGAAGGCCGUCCUCUUGGUGAACUUGGGCACCACGACUGCACCAACCGCGCCAGCGGUUCGCAGAUUCCUGCGCGAGUUCCUUUCCGAUCGCCGCGUCAUUGACGUGCCGCGCUUUCUUUGGCACUCGGUCCUCUAUGGCUUUAUCCUGCCCUUUCGCCCACGCAGCAUCACUCCGCUGUACAAGGCCAUUUGGAUCAAAAGUGACUCUGGUGUGGUCAUUAAUGGUAAGACCGAGGGAUCUCCGUUGACGUUGUACUCGGAAAGCCUUGCAGCGAAAGUGCAGGCGUCAGUGGAGAAGACGUCAGGCGGCGCCGUUGUGGCGCGUCACGCGAUGCGCUAUGGCGUCAAGAACAUCCCAUCGACUCUCAAGGCGCUACACGACGAAUUUGCCACGCUCCGCGAGUUGGUCGUUCUCCCGUUGUUUCCACAGUACACCUCCACGACAUCUGCGAGCAUUUACGACGAGGUGUUUAAGUUCUACACGGAUACAAGGCGCCGCUCCAUUCCCAGCUUGCGAACCAUUCGCGACUACGCUGAGCACCCCGUCUAUGUCGAAGCUCUCGGAUCGAGUCUCUUGAGCAGCAUCAAGGCACACGUCACCGCAAAGGCCGGCGCCGCCAAGGACUGGAAGUCGGCCCUCUCCGACCAGCUCCCGGAGAUUGGUAUCAUCAUCACGUACCAUAGCAUCCCUGUCCGCUACGUCGAGGAGCACGACGACUACCCGCAGCGCUGCGAGGCCACCACUGCCGCCAUCAAGGCCUACAUCGAGGCGGAGUCCGGCGUCUCCCUAAGCGGUUGCCUGGUUCAUGUCUACCAGUCCCAGUUUGGUAAUCAACCGUGGCUUGGUCCUACUCUCAACGCUGCAGCGACUGCCUUUCCCCUCCCUCCCCACGACCCUAGAAAGCACGCUUUCAGCGAUGCCCACCGCAACACGGCUCUCUUGACGAAGCAGGCGAAUGUCUGCUUUGCCAUGGCGCCGGGCUUUGCUGUGGACUGUGUGGAGACCUUGAACGAGAUCGAGCGGGAGGCUGGUGAAGUCUUCAAGCAGAGCGGCGGCCGCGAGUUCAUUUACGUUCCGUGCCUCAACGACAGCGACACCCAUGUCAAGGUGCUCACCUCCGUCGUUGGCGCGUGAGUUGGUGCUGCAGCGCCGCUGUUGCGGGACUCCUUCUUUGUUGACCUUCUCUCUCUUGCCGCAGCCCAACUGCACGGUUUGCAUCCAUCAUCCCACGCGCGCUGACCUCUACACGCGCUGCCUUGUUAUAUCGAGGCACGCAACGUUUAACGCACGUCACCACAUAUCGUGACCACUUUCUGUGCUCUCUCUUCCCCCUUCUUCUGGUGUGUUCGCGUGCGUGGCUGACCGUAUCGCCGUACGGUGACGCACCAGCGACAGUGACUGCCGGUGCGGCGCCGGUCGCCUUCUUCACCACAUCCCGCGCAGAAAGCCCAGCAAGGCGCAAAGCAGAGCGGAUUCCUGGCAGCCCGCAAGAUCGAGGGCGAAACAGAAACCCGCUGCCUUCGCACUUCUCUCUCACGUUCCGUUCCGUCGUGUGCGCCUCUGCUUCGGGUUUACCACUCUCUCUCGUUCUCCGCUGAUCGUUGGCUACAAGGUUGGCUUUCGACGUGACAGCUUUUGGCCCCCGCUGCUGCUGCCUCUCGCCAUUUUCGUGUUUUUG
RNAcentral lists this unclassified non-coding RNA (1942 nucleotides) under Leishmania donovani. Its description in RNAcentral is "gene:LdHU3.17.2170(CDS-product:ferrochelatase-lik e_protein)". Lineage: Eukaryota; Euglenozoa; Kinetoplastea; Trypanosomatida; Trypanosomatidae. The record is from RNAcentral.